This 305-nucleotide ribosomal RNA is filed under the name uncultured bacterium. Its description in RNAcentral is "bacterial SSU rRNA". It matches the Rfam family "Bacterial small subunit ribosomal RNA", at positions 335 to 658 of the family's 1533-position model. The record is from RNAcentral.
ACCCUACAGGAGGCAGCAGUGGGGAAUAUUGCACAAUGGGGGGAACCCUGAUGCAGCGACGCCGCGUGGGUGAAGGAGUAUUUCGGUAUGUAAAGCCCUAUCAGCAGGGAAGAACAAUGACGGUACCUGACUAACAAGCAUCGGCUAACUCCGUGCCAGCAGCCGCGGUAAUACGGAGGAUGCGAGCGUUAUCCGGAUUUAUUGGGUUUAAAGGGUGCGCAGGCGGCACGGCAAGCCGGCGGUCAAAUCGCGGGGCUCAACCCCGCCCAGCCGUCGGAACUGCCGGGCUAGAGUGGGCGAGAAGG